RNAcentral lists this ribosomal RNA (424 nucleotides) under uncultured Eubacterium sp. Its description in RNAcentral is "bacterial SSU rRNA". It matches the Rfam family "Bacterial small subunit ribosomal RNA", at positions 338 to 759 of the family's 1533-position model. The record is from RNAcentral. Lineage: Bacteria; Bacillati; Bacillota; Clostridia; Eubacteriales; Eubacteriaceae.
CCUACGGGUGGCAGCAGUGAGGAAUAUUGGUCAAUGGACGAGAGUCUGAACCAGCCAAGUAGCGUGAAGGAUGAAGGUCCUACGGAUUGUAAACUUCUUUUAUAAGGGAAUAAACCCUCCCACGUGUGGGAGCUUGUAUGUACCUUAUGAAUAAGCAUCGGCUAACUCCGUGCCAGCAGCCGCGGUAAUACGGAGGAUGCGAGCGUUAUCCGGAUUUAUUGGGUUUAAAGGGAGCGUAGGUGGAUUGUUAAGUCAGUUGUGAAAGUUUGCGGCUCAACCGUAAAAUUGCAGUUGAUACUGGCAGUCUUGAGUACAGUAGAGGUGGGCGGAAUUCGUGGUGUAGCGGUGAAAUGCGUAGAGAUCUGGAGGAAUACCGGUGGCGAAGGCGGCCCCCUGGACGAAGACUGACGCUCAGGUGCGAAAG